CAUGAGCGGGAGCCACACGCAGUGGUUCACGCCUGUAAUUCCAGCACUUUGGGAGGCUAAGGUAGGUGGAUCGCUUGAGCCCAGGAGUUUGAGACCAGCCUGGGCAACAUGGCGAAACUCCUUCUAUAAAAGGGGUUUUGUGUCUACCAAAAAUACAAAAAUUAGCUGGGAGUGGUUCUGUAUGCUGGUAGUUCCAACUACUCGGUAGGCUGAAGUGGGAGGAU
RNAcentral lists this long non-coding RNA (224 nucleotides) under Homo sapiens (human). Its description in RNAcentral is "non-protein coding lnc-RNF157-1:1". The record is from RNAcentral. Lineage: Eukaryota; Metazoa; Chordata; Mammalia; Primates; Hominidae.